Molecule: long non-coding RNA, 1357 nt
Filed under: Homo sapiens (human)
Lineage: Eukaryota; Metazoa; Chordata; Mammalia; Primates; Hominidae
Description: HSALNT0296035
Source: RNAcentral
UUGUAGCCAUGCGCAUGUUAAAUAGAGCUCAGGAAAGGAUUGAUGCCUGGGCUCAGCUGAACUCUAUUCCUGGCCAGUUCACAGGAAGUACAGGAGUACAGGUUUUGACACAAGAACAGUUGGCCAAUACUGGUGCCCAACCUGGAUUAAAAAGGAUCAGUUCUUAAGAGCAGCCCCGGUAACUGGAGGAACGGGAGCCGUUUUGAUGAGGAAAAUGGGCUGGAGAGAAGGAGAAAGAGCAAAAAAGAGGUCUGGGAACUUCUCUGCUGCAAUGAAAGAUCUGCCAGGCAAACAUCCUGUGUCUGCUUUGAUGGAAAUCUGAAAUAAGAGAAGGUGGCAACCACCUGAAUUUCUAUUGGUCCAUGAUAGUGGCCCUGAUCAUUGCAAACGUUUUCUCUUUAGGGUAUUGAGAAAUGGAAGCCCUUACCAGCCCAGUUGUAUGUUUUUCUUGAAUAGGGAUUGAUAAAUGGAAGUGCUUACCAGCCCAACUUUGCCAGCCUUAAUAAGAAGCAUGCUAAAGACACAGCAGCUACUGUGGUUCUUCAAGCAAUGGGCCUUGUACCAAAGGACCUCAUGGCUAAUGCCACCUGCUUCAGGAGUGCCUCACAUAGAUAGAUUGAGGUUUUAUAAUAAUCAUUUCAGAUAAUUUUACUCUGCCUCACAAUGUGUUUCCUCUUUAAUGUUGUAAAUAUUUGGCAAUUUAAGACAUUGUGUAAAAAGCAAUCUGUAGAAACAUCUCCAGGCUUUGAUUUUUGUACCAUGGAAAUUGUAUUUAACCAUACAGGGUUUUGGUAUGUUUAUAUUGUUUAUCUUAGUGAUGUAUUUGUUUAAGUGGCUAACAUCCAAACGAUUGUUUGAAGGCAUUAGAGUAAUCUUCAGUGUGGAAUGUUAAAUAACGCUUUUAUACUGUAUUUUGUACUAUGAUGUAACUCCCCAUCUCCCCUCAAAAUUUUGUAGAGGUUCUAAAAAGAAAGGGUAUGAGGUGUGAUGAUCAGCACUAAGUCCUGCAUUCCUGUUAAAGCCACUUGGGUCAUAAGAAGGGAGUAAAAAAUGAAGUCUGAGUAGAAUUCUACUAUUGCUGAGGCCAAGUACAUUUAGUAUGGCAUCGAGUUGUGAUAUAGUUUUACUUUGAUGUGCAUUUUGAAUUUCAGCUACACCUAGAUAGACAUAAAAUGAUAAUUAAAAUGCUGUAACCAACUUAUCUAAUAAAAUUGGCAACCAGCCACUAUUCUGUUGACUAUGAGAAAGUUAAAGUUUAUGUUAAUUUUUAGGGUCUGAUAGGAUAUUUCAUGUGUAUUACAGUGGUAUUCAUAUGCUAUGUUUCUAAACUUUAUUUUCAAAAGCUUAAGGCCCAAAU